GAUGUAACGCUGGCGGCGUGCUUAACACAUGCAAGUCGAACGGAAAGGCCUCCUGCUUGCAGGGGUGCUCGAGUGGCGAACGGGUGAGUAACACGUGGGUGAUCUGCCCCGCACUUCGGGAUAAGCCUGGGAAACCGGGUCUAAUACCGGAUAGGACCAUUAUUCGUUUAGUGGUGGAAAGUUUUUUCGGUGUGGGAUGAGCCUGCGGCCUAUCAGCUUGUUGGUGGGGUAAUGGCCUACCAAGGCGUCGACGGGUAUCCGGCCUGAGAGGGUGUACGGACACAUUGGGACUGAGAUACGGCCCAG
RNAcentral lists this ribosomal RNA (306 nucleotides) under uncultured bacterium. RNAcentral's name for it is "bacterial SSU rRNA". It matches the Rfam family "Bacterial small subunit ribosomal RNA", at positions 32 to 334 of the family's 1533-position model. The record is from RNAcentral.